RNAcentral lists this ribosomal RNA (517 nucleotides) under Escherichia coli. RNAcentral's name for it is "partial 23S ribosomal RNA". It matches the Rfam family "Bacterial large subunit ribosomal RNA", at positions 345 to 867 of the family's 2925-position model. Lineage: Bacteria; Pseudomonadati; Pseudomonadota; Gammaproteobacteria; Enterobacterales; Enterobacteriaceae. The record is from RNAcentral.
GAAAGGCGCGCGAUACAGGGUGACAGCCCCGUACACAAAAAUGCACAUGCUGUGAGCUCGAUGAGUAGGGCGGGACACGUGGUAUCCUGUCUGAAUAUGGGGGGACCAUCCUCCAAGGCUAAAUACUCCUGACUGACCGAUAGUGAACCAGUACCGUGAGGGAAAGGCGAAAAGAACCCCGGCGAGGGGAGUGAAAAAGAACCUGAAACCGUGUACGUACAAGCAGUGGGAGCACGCUUAGGCGUGUGACUGCGUACCUUUUGUAUAAUGGGUCAGCGACUUAUAUUCUGUAGCAAGGUUAACCGAAUAGGGGAGCCGAAGGGAAACCGAGUCUUAACUGGGCGUUAAGUUGCAGGGUAUAGACCCGAAACCCGGUGAUCUAGCCAUGGGCAGGUUGAAGGUUGGGUAACACUAACUGGAGGACCGAACCGACUAAUGUUGAAAAAUUAGCGGAUGACUUGUGGCUGGGGGUGAAAGGCCAAUCAAACCGGGAGAUAGCUGGUUCUCCCCGAAAGCU